GCUCAGUUUCCUCCAUAAAAUUGAUCAAUACCAGGGCCUCUGCAUUGGACAACUCCAGAGGGCACCAUUUGGGUUAUACCUUAUGUUUGCCUAACCUUCAUUGCAGUGGGCAGGUGCAUGCUUUCUACAACGUCCUAAGGUCUAAAGGGGUAGAGUUCUGUGUGUGGCAUUUUAGGCCUGGGAAGGAUGAGAGUCUACAAAACCAGAGAAAUACUGCAGAAUCCAAUGAACACAUGGACCCAACACUCCUUUGGCCAAGUUGAUGAUUCUCCACCAUUUAUUUGCCUGCCUCACUAUAUACUUCUAGCAAGCCACUGCAAGGCUGCAUUGCAGCUAAGAGGAAGCCCUCCUUGAAGGCUGCACAGCAAGGAGUGUUGGCAGAGUAGCUGGGUUUCCACUGGGAGAGCACGAGUCAGCACCAUGCUGGGCUCAAGCAUGGAUAUGCACUGCUGCUGCCAGAGCAUCAUAAUUUGCAAGCAUUUAUCGAGUACCCUUCAUCUAAUUUUCAUCCUGCGGAAACUAGAAAUUGCUAC
This 533-nucleotide long non-coding RNA is filed under the name Pan troglodytes (chimpanzee). RNAcentral describes it as "long non-coding RNA NONPTRT006054". The record is from RNAcentral. Lineage: Eukaryota; Metazoa; Chordata; Mammalia; Primates; Hominidae.